RNAcentral lists this ribosomal RNA (377 nucleotides) under uncultured organism. Its description in RNAcentral is "partial 16S ribosomal RNA". It matches the Rfam family "Bacterial small subunit ribosomal RNA", at positions 527 to 897 of the family's 1533-position model. The record is from RNAcentral.
GUAGGGUGCAAGCGUUAUCCGGAAUCAUUGGGCGUAAAGAGCUCGUAGGCGGUUCAGCAAGUCGGCUGUGAAAUCCCGAGGGCUUAACCUCGGAACUGCAGUCGAUACUGCUGUGACUAGAGUCCGGUAGAGGAGAAUGGAAUUCCCGGUGUAGCGGUGAAAUGCGCAGAUAUCGGGAGGAACACCAGUAGCGAAGGCGGUUCUCUGGGCCGGUACUGACGCUGAGGAGCGAAAGCGUGGGUAGCAAACAGGAUUAGAUACCCUGGUAGUCCACGCCGUAAACGUUGGACACUGGGUGUGGCGUUCCGACCAACGGGUGCCGUGCCGAAGCUAACGCAUUAAGUGUCCCGCCUGGGGAGUACGGCCGCAAAGGCUAA